RNAcentral lists this non-coding RNA (31 nucleotides) under Rattus norvegicus (Norway rat). Lineage: Eukaryota; Metazoa; Chordata; Mammalia; Rodentia; Muridae. The record is from RNAcentral.
UCAGAGCAGGUCAGACGAUCUUCUUCGUGCU